UUUGGUUAAGUUAGAAAGGGCGCACGGUGGAUGCCUUGACACUAGGAGUCGAUGAAGGACGGGACUAACGCCGAUAUGCUUCGGGGAGCUGUAAGUAAGCUUUGAUCCGAAGAUUUCCGAAUGGGGAAACCCACCAUACGUAAUGGUAUGGUAUCCUUAUCUGAAUACAUAGGAUAAGGAAGACAGACCCAGGGAACUGAAACAUCUAAGUACCUGGAGGAAGAGAAAGCAAAUGCGAUUUCCUGAGUAGCGGCGAGCGAAACGGAACAUAGCCCAAACCAAGAGGCUUGCCUCUUGGGGUUGUAGGACAUUCUAUACGGAGUUACAAAGGAACGAGGUAGACGAAGCGACCUGGAAAGGUCCGUCGUAGAGGGUAACAACCCCGUAGUCGAAACUUCGUUCUCUCUUGAAUGUAUCCUGAGUACGGCGGAACACGUGAAAUUCCGUCGGAAUCUGGGAGGACCAUCUCCCAAGGCUAAAUACUCCCUAGUGAUCGAUAGUGAACCAGUACCGUGAGGGAAAGGUGAAAAGCACCCCGGAAGGGGAGUGAAAGAGAUCCUGAAACCGUGUGCCUACAAAUAGUCAGAGCCCGUUAACGGGUGAUGGCGUGCCUUUUGUAGAAUGAACCGGCGAGUUACGAUCCCGUGCGAGGUUAAGCUGAAGAGGCGGAGCCGCAGCGAAAGCGAGUCUGAAUAGGGCGUUUAGUACGUGGUCGUAGACCCGAAACCAGGUGAUCUACCCAUGUCCAGGGUGAAGUUCAGGUAACACUGAAUGGAGGCCCGAACCCACGCACGUUGAAAAGUGCGGGGAUGAGGUGUGGGUAGCGGAGAAAUUCCAAUCGAACCUGGAGAUAGCUGGUUCUCCCCGAAAUAGCUUUAGGGCUAGCCUUAAGUGUAAGAGUCUUGGAGGUAGAGCACUGAUUGGACUAGGGGUCCUCAUCGGAUUACCGAAUUCAGUCAAACUCCGAAUGCCAAUGACUUAUCCUUAGGAGUCAGACUGCGAGUGAUAAGAUCCGUAGUCAAAAGGGAAACAGCCCAGACCGCCAGCUAAGGUCCCAAAGUGUGUAUUAAGUGGAAAAGGAUGUGGAGUUGCUUAGACAACUAGGAUGUUGGCUUAGAAGCAGCCACCAUUUAAAGAGUGCGUAAUAGCUCACUAGUCGAGUGACUCUGCGCCGAAAAUGUACCGGGGCUAAAUACACCACCGAAGCUGCGGAUUGAUACCAAUGGUAUCAGUGGUAGGGGAGCGUUCUAAGGACAGUGAAGUCAGACCGUAAGGACUGGUGGAGUGCUUAGAAGUGAGAAUGCCGGUAUGAGUAGCGAAAGACGGGUGAGAAUCCCGUCCACCGAAUGCCUAAGGUUUCCUGAGGAAGGCUCGUCCGCUCAGGGUUAGUCAGGACCUAAGCCGAGGCCGACAGGCGUAGGCGAUGGACAACAGGUUGAUAUUCCUGUACCACCUCUUUAUCGUUUGAGCAAUGGAGGGACGCAGAAGGAUAGAAGAAGCGUGCGAUUGGUUGUGCACGUCCAAGCAGUUAGGCUGAUAAGCAGGCAAAUCCGCUUAUCGUGAAGGCUGAGCUGUGAUGGGGAAGCUCCUUAUGGAGCGAAGUCUUUGAUUCCCCGCUGCCAAGAAAAGCUUCUAGCGAGAUAAAAGGUGCCUGUACCGCAAACCGACACAGGUAGGCGAGGAGAGAAUCCUAAGGUGUGCGAGAGAACUCUGGUUAAGGAACUCGGCAAAAUGACCCCGUAACUUCGGGAGAAGGGGUGCUUUCUUAACGGAAAGCCGCAGUGAAUAGGCCCAAGCGACUGUUUAGCAAAAACACAGCUCUCUGCGAAGCCGUAAGGCGAAGUAUAGGGGGUGACACCUGCCCGGUGCUGGAAGGUUAAGGAGAGGGGUUAGCGUAAGCGAAGCUCUGAACUGAAGCCCCAGUAAACGGCGGCCGUAACUAUAACGGUCCUAAGGUAGCGAAAUUCCUUGUCGGGUAAGUUCCGACCCGCACGAAAGGUGUAACGAUUUGGGCACUGUCUCAACCAGAGACUCGGUGAAAUUAUAGUACCUGUGAAGAUGCAGGUUACCCGCGACAGGACGGAAAGACCCCGUGGAGCUUUACUGUAGCCUGAUAUUGAAUUUUGGUACAGUUUGUACAGGAUAGGCGGGAGCCAUUGAAACCGGAGCGCUAGCUUCGGUGGAGGCGCUGGUGGGAUACCGCCCUGACUGUAUUGAAAUUCUAACCUACGGGUCUUAUCGACCCGGGAGACAGUGUCAGGUGGGCAGUUUGACUGGGGCGGUCGCCUCCUAAAGUGUAACGGAGGCGCCCAAAGGUUCCCUCAGAAUGGUUGGAAAUCAUUCGUAGAGUGCAAAGGCAUAAGGGAGCUUGACUGCGAGACCUACAAGUCGAGCAGGGACGAAAGUCGGGCUUAGUGAUCCGGUGGUUCCGCAUGGAAGGGCCAUCGCUCAACGGAUAAAAGCUACCCCGGGGAUAACAGGCUUAUCUCCCCCAAGAGUCCACAUCGACGGGGAGGUUUGGCACCUCGAUGUCGGCUCAUCGCAUCCUGGGGCUGUAGUCGGUCCCAAGGGUUGGGCUGUUCGCCCAUUAAAGCGGUACGCGAGCUGGGUUCAGAACGUCGUGAGACAGUUCGGUCCCUAUCCGUCGUGGGCGUAGGAAAUUUGAGAGGAGCUGUCCUUAGUACGAGAGGACCGGGAUGGACGCACCGCUGGUGUACCAGUUGUUCUGCCAAGGGCAUAGCUGGGUAGCUAUGUGCGGAAGGGAUAAGUGCUGAAAGCAUCUAAGCAUGAAGCCCCCCUCAAGAUGAGAUUUCCCAUAGCGUAAGCUAGUAAGAUCCCUGAAAGAUGAUCAGGUUGAUAGGUUCGAGGUGGAAGCAUGGUGACAUGUGGAGCUGACGAAUACUAAUAGAUCGAGGACUUAACCAUAUAA
This 2929-nucleotide ribosomal RNA is filed under the name Bacillus thuringiensis. RNAcentral's name for it is "bacterial LSU rRNA". It matches the Rfam family "Bacterial large subunit ribosomal RNA". The record is from RNAcentral. Lineage: Bacteria; Bacillati; Bacillota; Bacilli; Caryophanales; Bacillaceae.